This 415-nucleotide ribosomal RNA is filed under the name uncultured bacterium. RNAcentral's name for it is "bacterial SSU rRNA". It matches the Rfam family "Bacterial small subunit ribosomal RNA", at positions 28 to 438 of the family's 1533-position model. The record is from RNAcentral.
GAUUAACGCUAGCGGCAGGCAUAAUACAUGCAAGUUGAACGAGAUUAGUUUUAGCAAUAGAACUAGUUUAGUGGCGCACGGGUGCGUAACGCGUAUGCAACCUACCUUAAACAGGGGAAUAGCCUCUCGAAAGAGAGAUUAAUACCGCAUAAUAUAUAUUUAAUGCAUAUUAGAUAUAUUAAACCUACGGGGGGUUUUAAGAUGGGCAUGCGUGACAUUAGCUAGUUGGUGAGGUAACGGCUCACCAAGGCAACGAUGUCUAGGGGGUCUGAGAGGAUGUCCCCCACACUGGUACUGAGACACGGACCAGACUCCUACGGGAGGCAGCAGUAGGGAAUAUUGGUCAAUGGGGGCAACCCUGAACCAGCCAUGCCGCGUGCAGGAAUAAGGCCCUAUGGGUCGUAAACUGCUUUUG